RNAcentral lists this unclassified non-coding RNA (394 nucleotides) under soil metagenome. RNAcentral's name for it is "partial contains 5.8S ribosomal RNA, internal transcribed spacer 2, and large subunit ribosomal RNA". The stretch from base 1 to 120 matches the Rfam family "5.8S ribosomal RNA", at positions 35 to 154 of the family's 154-position model. The record is from RNAcentral.
GAUGAAGAACGUAGCGAAAUGCGAUAAGUAAUGUGAAUUGCAGAAUUCAGUGAAUCAUCGAAUCUUUGAACGCACCUUGCGCCUUUUGGUAUUCCGAAAGGCACACCUGUUUGAGCGUCAUGAAUACCUCAAUCUCCAUCUUUUCUUCGGAUUGAUGGGUGACUUGGAUGUUGAGCCCUGCUGGUAUGCUAUAUCAGCUGGCUUUAAACUUAUUAGCCGGCUCUGUACUGGAUCGGUUUGACUCGACGUGAUAAUAUUAUCGUUGAGGAUGCAUGUCUCAUGCAGCCGGAAAGUAUCAAAGCAGCUUCUAGCUUGCCUUUAGUGCACUUUUACAUUUUAGACCUCAGAUCAGGUGGGACUACCCGCUGAACUUAAGCAUUCAAUAAGCGGAGGA